This 262-nucleotide long non-coding RNA is filed under the name Mus musculus (house mouse). RNAcentral describes it as "long non-coding RNA chr11:50347627-50347889". The record is from RNAcentral. Lineage: Eukaryota; Metazoa; Chordata; Mammalia; Rodentia; Muridae.
AACCCAAAGAAAGGCUGAAGGGGAUGCUAAAGGAGACAAAAUCAAGGUGAAGGAGGAGCCACAGAGAAGAUCUGCAAGGUUGUCUGCUAAACCUGCUCCUCCAAAGCCAGAGCCCAAGCCUAAAAAGACCCCUGCGAAGAAGGGAGAGAAGGUGUCCAAGGGGAGGAAGGGGAAGCCAACACCGGCAAGGAUUCAAAUAACACUGCAGAAAAUAGAUGUCAAAAUAGCCUAGGCACAGAAAGCUGAAGGUGCUGGAGAUGCC